This is a long non-coding RNA of Daphnia magna, 1379 nucleotides long. RefSeq lists it as uncharacterized. The transcript is spliced from 3 exons. The record is from RefSeq and is a predicted model, not a curated record. NCBI's taxonomy places the organism in Eukaryota, Metazoa, Arthropoda, Branchiopoda, Diplostraca, Daphniidae.
UUUUGACAUCAAAUUGUGUUGGAUUUUACAUCUAGAAGCUAAACGAGAAAGUGUAUUUCCCAUGAAAAUACACUUGACAAAGUAAACAAUCGUUGUACGUAGAUUUCCGAGGUUUCCUAUUGCCCCAAAGUUAUUUGGGCAACUUGGAUUAACUUGGAUUUAGUUUAAGAUAUUAGAUGGCGCGCAAGGACUUUCCAAAAUUACCCAUACAACUGGUUUAUUCGUCACGAAAAACCAGGUCAACUACCUGAAUAAUAGUAUAGGUAAAUUAGUAUAAUUACAUUUUGUAACGGAUGAAUGGAGCCGAGCGGGAGCGUGAAAACGGCGAGUGGGUAAAUGAAAAUAAAGCAUUAAAGUUUGGUUGUCUUUACGAAGUACUAAGUGAAAACGAUGUAACCUUUGCUAAGUCAUAGCAAUAUAGCAGUAACAGUUAAUUAAGGCUUUACCAAAGACGUAUAAAAACCAGUUUUCAUAGUUCCUAGAGAAAAAAUUAGAAUAUUUGUUCUACUCAUCGUCUUGAAAAGAAAGAAAAAAUCUAAACUUAUUGCACAAUAAACGAAAAAAAAGAAAUUCGACCAGCUAGCUCAUAGUAGUCAUCUGACACCAACAAAACUUUGAAAGCAAAUAAAACAAUGGUAACAAGAGGUACUACUGAUCCCAAAGAGUAUGACGUCAGUCAAGUAAACAAAACCAGACGUGCACUGAAUGACCGCAGUAGUUGAGCAAAAGGAUCUAACGUACGUGCAUUUUACACCAUCCUUGAUGUUCGCACUCACUGGCCUUCAGAACAGCUAAUAAAAAGAAAUCUCCCAUCAAAGAUCCAGCUGCGGGCUCUUGUAUUUUAGGUAGCUUUCUAAUUGGUGGCUCCUGCUCCACAACACUGACGCUUUCCUCGUGCUUGAAUUUUGCCGAGCUUUCUGCUUUCGGCGUUGUAAGACUGCCAACGUUGGAGACCUUUGGCGGGUUAUUUGCUCGUGAAUAUUUUCCCACAUUUCCAAGAACCAAAAACGUAUACGUGAAAGAAAAAUUUUUAAGGACAACAUGAAACUAUUGAUCUAUGGUCGACCUGCGAGAGGCGGAAACCUAUAAAAAUGCGCAAACGAAAAUUUGCUGUUCCGGAUACCAGAUACAACAUCCUUCUUAUUCCAAGCCAGGGUCUUGCAAAAUGUUGUUCAUUAUUGAAGAUAUCUGAUUCCUCAAAGUACUAAAUUCUUCUUCCAGUUUUCUACAAGUCUCCCACUCCUUCUCAAAUUCAUGUAUGACUGAACGCAAAUUUUCAUCGAUAGUUUGGUAACGAGCCUUAAUCGUACUUUCCAAGUUCUCGAUGAUGCUUUCAGUCUAGGGAAUUAAACAUAAUUAAUUUGGUCAUAGGACUAACA